RNAcentral lists this long non-coding RNA (550 nucleotides) under Felis catus (domestic cat). RNAcentral describes it as "lncRNA (ENSFCAG00000051614.1)". Lineage: Eukaryota; Metazoa; Chordata; Mammalia; Carnivora; Felidae. The record is from RNAcentral.
CCAAGCUCUCCAGGAACACCUGGUAUGGAGGAGGGACAGUUUCCCAAAGAGAGGACCCUGGAAACAGACACAACAAGAAUAUGUCUCAAUGUCUAGCUUUGGAGAAAAGAGCGGAAAGGUCCUACUUUGGCUUCAAAUUUCAUCCAGCUUCUCCACUCCAACUGAUACCAGAGAGUUCUGAAUCUGGUGGACCGUUGGGUAUUUCACAGCCAUUGAUGAGGCUUUGGUUUUCAUUUGUAUCAUGACCCUCUGUCACCAGAACCCAGAAUGGAGAGGGGGUGAUUCUUGGGCCCACACUCCCGAAUGUUUAUUAGCUGUUAUCACCUGUCUUUACUGCUUCCCUAAGAACAGGGACUUCUGACUUGGCUCCCACUAUACCCCCAGCAUCUAGCAGAGUGGGUGCUCAAGAUGUAUACAUUAACUAAUGAACACGUUUGGCCAGAAAUGCAUCCUUCAAUUUUGUUUUUCUUCCCAAUGGUGACACGUUGACAAACAUUGGAAGCAAAGUGUGGAGCCCACUGGAAAUAAAAGCCGUACCUUGCGUCUGCCA